AUCUAAUAUACUUGAACAAGGUGUGGCCAAUGAUCAAAUACAUAUACCAAUACGUCCAUUAGAAGAGGUUAAUUUGCAUGAUCACGCAAUUAUGAAUGUUAGUGGUGUCAGUGAACAAAAUGAUCAUGCCAGAAAGAAACUGGAUUUUGCAGUCGAUGGGAUAAGCUUGGCAAGACCAAAUAACUCAAAACCCAAAGGAAGAACAAUAAAGGGGAGUGAAGAAAGGGUUAUUAAAUUGGGAGCAAAAGGUACAAAGAAAAUGACCAGGAAAUGUCAGAAGUGUGGAAUUGCUGAUGGUCACAACAGUAGGACAUGUUUGUCAAUGGAGGAAAAUAGACAAAGGUUGGCAAGCCUUGCUGGACGUAAGAGAGGACGACCUCCAGGAUCUAGGAACAAGGGUGGCAGUAAAGCUCCUGAUUGGAAUGAGACAACAACAU
This is a long non-coding RNA of Zea mays, 437 nucleotides long. RefSeq lists it as uncharacterized. The record is from RefSeq and is a predicted model, not a curated record. The transcript has 3 exons. Lineage: Eukaryota; Viridiplantae; Streptophyta; Magnoliopsida; Poales; Poaceae.